Molecule: ribosomal RNA, 292 nt
Filed under: uncultured bacterium
Lineage: Bacteria
Also listed under: 2 other names
Description: partial 16S ribosomal RNA
Source: RNAcentral
GGACUACUGGGGUAUCUAAUCCCGUUCGCUCCCCUAGCUUUCGCGCCUCAGCGUCAGAAGAGGUCCAGCACGUCGCUUUCGCCACCGGCGUUCCUUCCGAUAUCAACGCAUUUCACCGCUCCACCGGAAGUUCCACAUGCCCCUACCUCCCUCAAGGCGGCCAGUAUCAGGGGCACUUUUCCGGUUGAGCCGAAAGAUUUCACCCCUGACUUGAUCGCCCGCCUACGCGCCCUUUAAGCCCAGUGAUUCCGAACAACGUUCGCACGGUUUGUCUUACCGCGGCUGCUGGCAC